GGCUCGUAGCUCAGUUGGUUAGAGCACCACCUUGACAUGGUGGGGGUCGUUGGUUCGAAUCCAAUCGAGCCUACCAA
RNAcentral lists this transfer RNA (77 nucleotides) under Burkholderia pseudomallei 1026b. RNAcentral describes it as "tRNA-Val". It matches the Rfam family "tRNA". From Rfam's summary of the family: Transfer RNA (tRNA) molecules are approximately 80 nucleotides in length. Lineage: Bacteria; Pseudomonadati; Pseudomonadota; Betaproteobacteria; Burkholderiales; Burkholderiaceae. RNAcentral also lists the same sequence under 1 other name. The record is from RNAcentral.